GAUGAACGCUGGCGGCGUGCCUAAUACAUGCAAGUCGAGCGAACGGACGAGAAGCUUGCUUCUCUGAUGUUAGCGGCGGACGGGUGAGUAACACGUGGAUAACCUACCUAUAAGACUGGGAUAACUUCGGGAAACCGGAGCUAAUACCGGAUGAUAUUUUGAACCGCAUGGUUCAAAAGUGAAAGACGGUCUUGCUGUCACUUAUAGAUGGAUCCGCGCUGCAUUAGCUAGUUGGUAAGGUAACGGCUUACCAAGGCAACGAUGCAUAGCCGACCUGAGAGGGUGAUCGGCCACACUGGAACUGGGACACGGUCCAGACUCCUACGGGAGGCAGCAGUAGGGAAUCUUCCGCAAUGGGCGAAGGCCUGACGGAGCAACGCCGCGUGAGUGAUGAAGGUCUUCGGAUCGUAAAACUCUGUUAUUAGGGAAGAACAUAUGUGUAAGUAACUGUGCACAUCUUGACGGUACCUAAUCAGAAAGCCACGGCUAACUACGUG
Molecule: ribosomal RNA, 497 nt
Filed under: uncultured bacterium
Lineage: Bacteria
Description: partial 16S ribosomal RNA
Rfam family: Bacterial small subunit ribosomal RNA
Source: RNAcentral